UGAAGAUGCGCGCGGCCGCCUGCCUUUUCAGUCUGUGCUUCCUUUAAAUCGGAAAAGGAAUUUAUGAAGGAUUAGGAAAAACUCACAGAUAAAAACAGUGGUUAAGAACUUUUAAGUGACGUGCUGAGUGACGCCAUCCAAAGCGACGGAUUCCGAAGCCAUGCCGCUAGUAGCUCGCAUUGCGGUGAAUACAAGAAGAAGAGGCAGGAGUGCAAACGAGUUUAGAAAGAAUCGCCGACACAGAGACACCUGCCAAUAAACAAAGAAGAAAAAGAGACAGACAGAGGGUAA
This is a long non-coding RNA of Polypterus senegalus (gray bichir), 291 nucleotides long. RefSeq lists it as uncharacterized. The record is from RefSeq and is a predicted model, not a curated record. Lineage: Eukaryota; Metazoa; Chordata; Cladistia; Polypteriformes; Polypteridae. The transcript has 2 exons.